This 587-nucleotide ribosomal RNA is filed under the name uncultured freshwater bacterium. RNAcentral describes it as "bacterial SSU rRNA". It matches the Rfam family "Bacterial small subunit ribosomal RNA", at positions 8 to 607 of the family's 1533-position model. The record is from RNAcentral.
AGAGUUUGAUCCUGGCUCAGGACGAACGCUGGCGGCGUGCUUAACACAUGCAAGUCACGGGGGCCCGCAAGGGUAACCGGCGAACGGGUGCGUAACACGUGAGCAAUCUGCCGUACACUGGGGGAUAGCCGGCCCAACGGCCGGGUAAUACCGCAUACGUUCCUUGACCGGCAUCGGUUGGGGAAGAAACCUCCGGGGGUGUACGAGGAGCUCGCGGCCUAUCAGGUAGUUGGUGGGGUCACGGCCUACCAAGCCAUUGACGGGUAGCUGGUCUGAGAGGAUGGCCAGCCACAUUGGGACUGAGAUACGGCCCAGACUCCUACGGGAGGCAGCAGUGGGGAAUAUUGCGCAAUGGCCGCAAGGCUGACGCAGCGACGCCGCGUGGGGGAUGAAGCAUUUCGGUGUGUAAACCCCUGUUGCUCGGGACGAACAACCCUUUUCGAGGGGUCUGACGGUACCGGGUGAGGAAGCACCGGCUAACUCCGUGCCAGCAGCCGCGGUAAUACGGAGGGUGCGAGCGUUGUCCGGAAUCACUGGGCGUAAAGGGCGCGUAGGUGGUCUGCUAAGCGUGCGGUGAAAGCCCGGNG